GUGGGGAAUAUUGGACAAUGGACGCAAGUCUGAUCCAGCCAUGCCGCGUGAAGGAUUAAGGUCCUCUGGAUUGUAAACUUCUUUUAUAAGGGACGAAAAAAGGCUUUUCUAAGUCGUCUGACGGUACCUUAUGAAUAAGCACCGGCUAACUCCGUGCCAGCAGCCGCGGUAAUACGGAGGGUGCAAGCGUUAUCCGGAUUCACUGGGUUUAAAGGGUGCGUAGGCGGGCAGGUAAGUCAGUGGUGAAAUCCUAGAGCUUAACUCUAGAACUGCCAUUGAUACUAUCUGUCUUGAAUAUUGUGGAGGUAAGCGGAAUAUGUCAUGUAGCGGUGAAAUGCUUAGAUAUGACAUAGAACACCUAUUGCGAAGGCAGCUUACUACGCAUAUAUUGACGCUGAGGCACGAAAGCGUGGGGAUCAAACAGGAUUAGAUACCCUGGUAGUCC
This 445-nucleotide ribosomal RNA is filed under the name uncultured bacterium. RNAcentral's name for it is "bacterial SSU rRNA". It matches the Rfam family "Bacterial small subunit ribosomal RNA", at positions 354 to 796 of the family's 1533-position model. The record is from RNAcentral.